CCCAAGACUAAAUUCAAACUCAAGACACUUUUACUUUUCCAAGUGGUAGAUCUAAUACGAGCCUCAUUGUGCCUCAAUUCCCGUGUAUCAGAUGAUUGCAAAGGCACUUCACCAUAAGGAAUUCCAUAGGGUCAAGUACAAUUGAAGUUAAGCCUAAUAUUUUGUUAUUUUCAACAUUGAUACUAAAUCAACAACCAUAAA
This 201-nucleotide unclassified non-coding RNA is filed under the name Hevea brasiliensis (rubber tree). Lineage: Eukaryota; Viridiplantae; Streptophyta; Magnoliopsida; Malpighiales; Euphorbiaceae. The record is from RNAcentral.